UACGUAGGGGGCAAGCGUUGUCCGGAAUCAUUGGGCGUAAAGAGCGUGUAGGCGGUCCGGUAAGUCGGCUGUGAAAGUCGGGGGCUCAACCCUCGAAUGCCGGUGGAUACUGUCGGGCUAGAGUGCGGAAGAGGCGAGUGGAAUUCCUGGUGUAGCGGUGGAAUGCGCAGAUAUCAGGAAGAACACCAACGGCGAAGGCAGCUCGCUAGGACGGUACUGACGCUGAGACGCGAAAGCGUGGGGAGCGAACAGG
RNAcentral lists this ribosomal RNA (253 nucleotides) under uncultured bacterium. Its description in RNAcentral is "partial 16S ribosomal RNA". It matches the Rfam family "Bacterial small subunit ribosomal RNA", at positions 524 to 776 of the family's 1533-position model. The record is from RNAcentral.